RNAcentral lists this ribosomal RNA (466 nucleotides) under uncultured bacterium. RNAcentral's name for it is "partial 16S ribosomal RNA". It matches the Rfam family "Bacterial small subunit ribosomal RNA", at positions 28 to 507 of the family's 1533-position model. The record is from RNAcentral.
GACGAACGCUGGCGGCGUGCUUAACACAUGCAAGUCGAACGGAAAGGCCCUGCUUUUGUGGGGUGCUCGAGUGGCGAACGGGUGAGUAACACGUGAGUAACCUGCCCUUGACUUUGGGAUAACUUCAGGAAACUGGGGCUAAUACCGGAUAGGAGCUCCUGCUGCAUGGUGGGGGUUGGAAAGUUUCGGCGGUUGGGGAUGGACUCGCGGCUUAUCAGCUUGUUGGUGGGGUAGUGGCUUACCAAGGCUUUGACGGGUAGCCGGCCUGAGGGUGACCGGCCACAUUGGGACUGAGAUACGGCCCAGACUCCUACGGGGGGCAGCAGUGGGGAAUAUUGCACAAUGGGCGGAAGCCUGAUGCAGCAACGCCGCGUGCGGGAUGACGGCCUUCGGGUUGUAAACCGCUUUCGCCUGUGACGAAGCGUGAGUGACGGUAAUGGGUAAAGAAGCACCGGCUAACUACGUG